This 17-nucleotide small RNA is filed under the name Arabidopsis thaliana (thale cress). RNAcentral's name for it is "ATSL247670". Lineage: Eukaryota; Viridiplantae; Streptophyta; Magnoliopsida; Brassicales; Brassicaceae. The record is from RNAcentral.
AAAAGAAGAAACAAGCA